GGCUGUUCCUAGUACGAGAGGACCGGGACGGACGAACCUCUAGUGUGCCAGUUGUUCCGCCAGGGGCAUUGCUGGUUGGCCACGUUCGGGAGGGAUAACCGCUGAAAGCAUCUAAGCGGGAAGCCUGCUUCGAGAUUAGUUCUCGUUCCACCUUUGGGGUGGGUGAGGUCCCCGGUUGAUGAUCGGGUUGAUAGGCCAGGGAUGUAAGCAUUGUGAGGUGUUUAGUUGACUGGUACUAAUGGACCGAUAACCAAAACAA
RNAcentral lists this ribosomal RNA (259 nucleotides) under Actinotignum timonense. Its description in RNAcentral is "partial 23S ribosomal RNA". It matches the Rfam family "Bacterial large subunit ribosomal RNA", at positions 2670 to 2925 of the family's 2925-position model. The record is from RNAcentral. Lineage: Bacteria; Bacillati; Actinomycetota; Actinomycetes; Actinomycetales; Actinomycetaceae.